Molecule: ribosomal RNA, 254 nt
Filed under: uncultured bacterium
Lineage: Bacteria
Description: partial 16S ribosomal RNA
Rfam family: Bacterial small subunit ribosomal RNA
Source: RNAcentral
UACGUAGGGGGCUAGCGUUGUCCGGAUUUACUGGGCGUAAAGGGCGCGUAGGCGGCCACCGCAAGUCGACUGUGAAAUCUCCGGGCUUAACCCGGAAAGGUCAGCCGAUACUGCGGGGCUAGAGUGCAGAAGGGGCAACUGGAAUUCUCGGUGUAGCGGUGAAAUGCGUAGAUAUCUGGAGGAAUACCGGUGGCGAAGGCGGCAUCCUGGACCGAGAUUGACACUGAACGACGAAAGCUAGGGGAGCAAACGGG